Molecule: long non-coding RNA, 3612 nt
Organism: Anneissia japonica
Lineage: Eukaryota; Metazoa; Echinodermata; Crinoidea; Comatulida; Comatulidae
Exons: 2
Source: RefSeq, a predicted model, not a curated record
CUUUGAAUAUUAAUGACGCUAAACAAUCGAAGCCACCAUUUGUGACUCAUACGCUAGUCAUUUUGUUUCUGUUAGAAAUUAACGUUUGCUUUUACAUUUCGAUUCUCCAAGUAACUGCUGGUAUAUUUGAUUUACCUCUAACGUGAUAGUGAAUUUUACGAUAUAAGAUAAUCAAUAUUGAAAAUGGGCGGAAAGAAGCACGGACCCGGAGGGUUGCAUCGCUAUGGUAAUUUCUACGAGCCCACAAGAGGUGGAGCCGAACGAGAUAGGACGGAAUGCUGCUCAGAGGAAACCAUGACGGCCACGUCUGUAGUGUUAGUAGUCAUCGCCGUUAUCUUCAUCAUCACCGGUAUCGUCCUGCUCGCUCUAGGCUCGACGGAGAGUUUUUGGCGCCGUAAAUUGCAGAAGGAAAGCGGUACGUACGUGGACCAGUUCCGCUACGGCAACGACGUACUCGACAGCAAGUUUACUGACGACGCCUAUAGAGCAAUCGGAAUUACGAUGUUGAUCUCCGCAGUUUUAAUGAUACUUUUUUCAGUUUACCUGUGCGUGGCAGUAUAUCGUGGACGGAAUCCAGCUGAAGAGGACUACCUGCCUAACCGAGGCGGCGGCGGCGGCGGCUUUGGUGGUGGUAUCGGUAAUGAUAUGCUCUAAAGUUUACCUUGACUUUAUUCCAACGGACAGAUACGGUAACGAAUAGUGAAACAAAAAUAUUGAUUACAUGCGUAUUAUUAUUUCCCGAUCGGAAGUAUCGCUAUGCCGGAUGUUGUCUCUGAUGUACACCUUGAAGGACUUAAAGCUUUAUGAGAUAAACUUUGUAUAGUUACUGGUAUUUUCAAUUUAAUCCCUUUUUUUUGUAUUGUCACGAUUUUGGCAUAUUUGAAACAAAAUGUUUAAACUCUAAUUUCGCAUAAUUGUAAUCACAACGGCUUCCGAUUUUUGUAUUUAUUAAACAAAAACAUUUUAUUGACCGAGCACAGAUGUUAAUAAUAAAGUACAUAAAUUAAUCAUAGAAUCAUUUUAAUACAUUUUGUUUGCUAUAACCAUUGCCGUAUGUUGUAUAAAAACACACAGGUCCUGGGUUCAAUUUAGCUUAGAUGUUUUUAAAACAUUUUAGAUUUACUGUUGCAGUAGUAUUUUUAUCGAUGUGAUUCGUUCUGAAUAAAAUAUUACGAUUUGCAAUGAUAGUACUCAAACUUAAUGGUUGUGAAGAUAGCUGUGGGAUAGCUGUGGGAUUGCUGGGGAGCUUUCGAUUUGGAUCAGUGGCUGCACCAGUGUGGUAAUAGCUUCCCAUCCCAUCAGGCAAGCGUGGACACCCAGUGGCGUCGAGAGCCAGUAAGGGCCCCGGGGCAACACCUCACAUGGCGCCCCCCUCCCCCUUUUCACUUGGGACCACCACUCGGCCGCUCCCCAAAUUAAGUCUCCUAUUUGUCCAAACCCACAUACAUGAAUAUGAUUCCAUGUGAACAAAAGUUUUCAUCCUGGCUUGGUCCGGGGCCCGGGGCAGCGACCCCCCGACCCCCUCUCGACGCCACUGUGGACACCCGUCUUCCGACGUCACGACGAGGGCGGGGGGAUUUGCCAAUGCUUACCGUCGUUGCACAAUCAAAAGCUCCCUAGUAACCAGAUUAGGUCCAAUACCUGUAAUGUUAAGGCUUGAGUUGUAUAGCGUAUAAUACAAUGAAAGGGAAUAUUUUUAACUGCGACUACUCAGUAACUAAGAAUAGAUAAAUCACAUCGUAUAUUUAUCACCUUGUAAUGAGUUGUGACAAAUGAGUCUUGUGGUACGCCCUGGUCAAUUUGAGAUUUUCCAGAAAACAUAUGAGUGAUAUUUUGACAAAAUUGUUAUUCAAUGUUCCAAAUAACAAAUGUUCUGAGUUGCUUUAAAUUAGUUGAAAGUGUUUUUUAGACACAUUUGUAAGCUCUCUUUCAGAAUUGAUAGAAAACCGACCACAAAAUGUAUUAGUUGUAAAUACCUUUAGUGGCGAUUUUCUCUAAAAGUAGCCUAUGUUUUCAGACUUCUUAAUUUUAAAGUGAUUAGACUUCUUAAUUUUAAAGUGAUUUUCUGUUGUACUCAAGCUACUGUAGGAACCUGAUUCAAAGACCGAAAUAUAGCCUGUAUAUCUAAAUAUAUCAUUAACUCAUUUUUUAUUCCACAAGACCCAUUUUGUAACAACAGCACACGUAUUGUACAGCAUUUUAUAUACUGUAGUCAUUUGAAAGUUUUUAGUAUAUUUUAUCAGAAGUGGAUAAUGAUCCUCUAGACAUUCCAGUUCAUAAUGAAGUUAUUAUUGUGUAGACGAUCAUGUUAUAUUAUAACUUCAUUCCGUAUAUGCCUUUGAAAUAACACACAUUUGGCUAUUGCUAAAACUCCAUUUGUACCGAGCUUAUCCUUUUGUAUUAUUAAAUAAAGACAUAUUUUGAUACAGUAAAUGUAAGCUUGAAUCCGUCUGAAGACGUUUUAUAAUUUGAUACGAAAUCAAGGUUGGCACCGGCUCUCCUCGUCGGGGAGAAAAACAGAAAUUCGUCGGGGAGAAACAAAAUUUAUAGGCCCUAUGUAUUUCUUACGUACCGUAUUAUUAUCAGUAGAUUCUAUCUAUAAAAUCAAUUAAGAUAAGCCUUUGAAACCCCUAAAUUGUUAUAUUUUGCGGGGGAUUUUUUCGGUUUUCUAGACAUUUUUACGCGACGUCCGACCACGUCCAUUGCUCUCGUCGGAGACAUCGACACCCCCCCCCCCCAAUCGGGCAAAUCCCGGCGCCACGCUUGAACGAAUGUAUCUGGGUGAGAUUCAUUAUGUGAAUGUAAUGCUGCAUAUUGUAACCUAUUAUAAUAAUAAGUAAUCAUGGUGUCAUACGGGAGGAAUUAAUAGUGAACACUAAAGCACUGUAUUUUACGCAAAACAAUCUGUGCGCAUACAAUAAUCCAUGAUCGAUAGUGAGGGAACUACGAAGUUUUAUACACGCCUAUUUUAAAAUGCAAUAAAAAUAAACUGAUUAUAUAUAUUUUUUUUUUUUGCGAAAAAUAAUUGAAAAGACCAGAAAGGGUUGGUGGUGGAGGGGGGGGGGGUUCCUUUUGUAACUGAGUUUAUCUUAAGAGAAAUGUUCACGUUCUGGUCAUGACAGGGUGUUUGUGACAGAUUGUGCAAAGAGUACCGUAGUUAUCCAGGUAGCGUCACAGAAAUCGCCAUUCGUUGGUCAUUUACAAUCAGCGUAAAAAAAGAAGAAAAUAAUCACCUUUGAAAAAGACGGUGUUGUUCUAUGGUGCGAGUGAGCAGUCGACAAACUACUGUAGGGGUUUGGGGUUUUGUGAUAGGUGGGUAGGAUGCUCCCUUAAAUAUUUUGUGUCCAGGUAGUUAUUCCCCUAGAAACUCCCCUUUAGCCAUUUAAAAUUAUGUAAAUGAUUUUUAACUUGGGAUUGUUUUGUUUGCUAUAGGGCCGGGUUGGGUGGGAUAGGGUAGGCGAUGUAGGGUUGGGGUCCUCCUGAUUCGCCACUGAUUUUAAUACUGAUAUUGUACACUGAAUUUCUUCUUGGCAAACAUGCCCUACGAAAUGCAAUUGUUUGUUCCGUAGGUAGCAUAGGCAAUAAAAUCUACUUUUUAUUCAUGUGACCUAA